GAGGAAUAUUGGUCAAUGGACGAGAGUCUGAACCAGCCAGUAGCGUGAAGGAUGACUGCCCUAUGGGUUGUAAACUUCUUUUAUACGGGAAUAAAGUGAGGCACGUGUGCCUUUUUUGUAUGUACCGUAUGAAUAAGGAUCGGCUAACUCC
RNAcentral lists this ribosomal RNA (151 nucleotides) under uncultured bacterium. RNAcentral's name for it is "partial 16S ribosomal RNA". It matches the Rfam family "Bacterial small subunit ribosomal RNA", at positions 356 to 504 of the family's 1533-position model. The record is from RNAcentral.